GGGGGGGGGGGGGGGGGGGGGGGGGGGGUGGGGGGCGGGGGGGCGGGGGGGGGGCUUGCGGGGCGGACGUUCGCGGCGGCCGGGGGAGUACCACGUGGGUAACCUACCGGUAAGACUGGGCUAACUUCGUGACACCGAACCUCAUACCGGAGACUCUAUUCCCCGUCGUGGUUCACUAGUGUGCGCCGCUUGUUCUAUACCUUAUCGAUGUAUCCGCGCCGCAUCAGCUAGUUGGUAAGGUAACGGCUUACCACGGCAACGAUGCGUAGCCGACCUGAGAGGGUGAUCGGUCACACUGGAACUGAGACACGGUCCAGACUCCUACGGGAGGCAGCAGUAGGGAAUCUUCCGCAAUGGGCGAAAGCCUGACGGAGCAACGCCGCGUGAGUGAUGAAGGUCUUCGGAUCGUAAAACUCUGUUAUUAGGGAAGAACAAAUGUGUAAGUAACUAUGCACGUCUUGACGGUACCUAAUCAGAAAGCCACGGCUAACUACGUG
This 497-nucleotide ribosomal RNA is filed under the name uncultured bacterium. RNAcentral's name for it is "partial 16S ribosomal RNA". It matches the Rfam family "Bacterial small subunit ribosomal RNA", at positions 38 to 507 of the family's 1533-position model. The record is from RNAcentral.